AUCACAAUGGAACAGUUCUUGAUGCUCUGGAGUGUAACACCAGCAGCUCGGUCGAGCUCGAACCCGGGCAGAGUGUGAGCAUCUCUUGCGGGGCCAAGGCUUCUGGGCCAGUGAGCAUCACAUGGAUGAAGGACAAUGUGACUGUGUCCAACUGUGAUCUUCUGCUCAUACGUAAUGUGAGCAGUGAUGAUGCCGGGCUCUACAGCGUUGCCGUGUCUGUGGACGACUACCCCAGUCUGCAGAGACAAGCUGUGGUCAAUGUGACCGUACACAGGGUUGUUGCUCCAACCAGCUGGGACCAUUUGGACGCCACCUCCAUCAUCGCAACAUCGGGGGACCCUGUCCAAGUUAGCACAAGCACUGCCCUGACAAUGGUCACCUCAGAUAUGACGUGGACUGACAUCAGCACAACCGCAAUGGAGCAUGACUGGAAAACUGUGGAAGAGACUUUCUCCUCUGAAAAUGCAACUACAGAGCAGUUUGACAGCAUGAAUACAACAACAUCAGAGGACAACACCACAGACUCAAAAGCUAAUGGAUUUACAUUCAGUUCCGUGCUGCCCUGGUUCUCGCAGAACAUCACAUCAGCGGGAACACACGAGAGCAUGGUCCCCAACACUGGGACAUCACCACGCAGCAUCAUUGCAAGUGUACCCACCACCUCAGCACCAAAUAAGAGGAACAUGCUGUGGGCCAUCUUCCCUUUCCUGGCGUUAGCAGUCAUAGCCACUGUUCUGUACAUGAAAUACAGAAUCCAGAGGAGGAUGGACUUGCCCCCCCCCUUUUAAACCCCCCCCACCACCGGUGAAGUACACUUCAGUGCGGACCACCCCUGUUUCAGAGUACCCCAUGAUAGACAUCCAAAGAAUUUAGAGCAGCACACGGAGGGCCAGGGCAGCCAUAAAGAUGCGUCCCACUCUCUGACGGACAUCUGUUUCCACAGUGGUCCUAAGCCAUUGGGCUUGUGACCUCAAGCUUUCGAUCCCAGGAUGAAAGUUACAUUGAGACCUUUGGGGGGAAAAACAUCCAUAUAUAUUAAACUAUAUAAAUGGGUAGAAAUACUGUAAUAGUUACUUUUAAUACAGCUUUGUGUUUGGAGGAACAUUUUGUACGUUUUAUGCUAACCCCAGAUAAGGAGGCCAUUUGUUUCCUGGCCUGCGCACCUGCUCUGGUGUGUUUCCUCUUAUAUGUAACAUUCAAAAAUUUCACAUUUACAUCUGUGCACGAUUUUACCGCAUACAGCAUGUAUUUGUUUCAGGCAGCGUAUUCUGUUUAGAAAGUAUGGAAAGCCGUUAGGAUUUUUUUUUUUUUUUUAAAUUUCAUGUGACCUCGGACUGGGGUGCCAGAGAGACACAGGGAGGUUGUCAUCUACCUCCCAUCAGUGAAGUGUCCCAGAAAUGGUGUCCCACUCAUCCAGCUGGAAAGGGAAAUGCACAUGCAGACACUUACUUUGGGGGACAGCCAGAUUCCUAGUUGGCCUGUAGACAGGUUUCCAGGUGAGGGACUCAGGAAAGAGUUACAUUUGUGUUGUGUUGAGUGUUUGGCGUCUGCUGUUCAUCGAACGUCUUUUGUGUCAGCGCUCUUGUGGCCUAAAGAAGGAUCUCAUGUAAAAGAGUGCAGGCCACACUUUGGUUGGGUCAGUGGUUUGCUUCACGUUUCCGUCUGUUUCAAACGAAUCCAUCGUAAUAAACGGUUAUCUGUGAAGAGGCA
Scleropages formosus (Asian bonytongue) is the source of this 1710-nucleotide long non-coding RNA. The record is from Ensembl. Lineage: Eukaryota; Metazoa; Chordata; Actinopteri; Osteoglossiformes; Osteoglossidae.